RNAcentral lists this ribosomal RNA (253 nucleotides) under uncultured bacterium. RNAcentral describes it as "partial 16S ribosomal RNA". It matches the Rfam family "Bacterial small subunit ribosomal RNA", at positions 524 to 776 of the family's 1533-position model. The record is from RNAcentral.
UACGUGGGGUGCAAGCGUUAAUCGGAAUUACUGGGCGUAAAGCGUGCGCAGGCGGUGAUGUAAGACAGGUGUGAAAUCCCCGGGCUUAACCUGGGAACUGCAUUUGUGACUGCAUCGCUGGAGUGCGGCAGAGGGGGAUGGAAUUCCGCGUGUAGCAGUGAAAUUCGUAGAUAUUGGGUGGAACACCGGUGGCGAAAGCGGCUCUCUGGUCCGGACCUGACGCUGAGGCGCGAAAGCGUGGGGAGCAAACAGG